This 1681-nucleotide long non-coding RNA is filed under the name Mytilus galloprovincialis (Mediterranean mussel). The record is from RNAcentral. Lineage: Eukaryota; Metazoa; Mollusca; Bivalvia; Mytilida; Mytilidae.
GUAAAACAAUUAAUUGAAAAUCACAGUAUUGGCCAGUUAAUAAUUGGGGGUGACUUCAACGACAUAUUAUCUAUAAGAGAUACAAAGAAAAAAGUAGGAAAUAAAAAAUUUGAUAAACCAGUUCAUAACCUUAAAAUGUUAAUCAAGAAUCUUAAACUAACUGAUGUCUGGAGAAGCAAAAACAUAAAUAAAACCCAAUUUACCUGGAGAAGGAAAAACUUAUCAGAAUCUACAAGAAUUGAUUACUUUUUAGUAAGUGAUGAAGUUAAUAAAAAUUGCAUUACAUGCGACAUAUAACCAAUAGUUCAACAACACACUGAUCAUUACGCCGUUUCAUUAAAAAUCAACAUAAAUAGAAACUCAAAAGGGCGAGGUUACUGGAAAUUAAAUAGCAGCAUCCUGGAUGAUCAACAGUAUCAAAAAAUUAUUUCAAAAUUGAUUGAUAAAUAUAAAACAAAAUCAGAAACAUCUCUCAACCUAGAUAUUUGAUGGGAUAACUUUAAAGUUGAGGUAAGGGAUUAUACCAUCCAAUACUGUAAAUUAAAGGCAAAUAUAAAAAAAGAUACUAUUGAAACCUUAGAAAAUACAUUAAAAACCAUAUCUGAAGAAAUUGAUUGUGACAAUUAUAUAAAUGAGAAGAAAGUCAACCUAAAAGAAAACAUUGAAAAACAAUUAGCAAGUUUAUAUAAUGAAAAAAAUAAAGGAAAUCAAAUAAGAUCACGCGUAAAAUGGCUAGAAGAAGGGGAGAAAAACACAUCUUUUUUUCUUGGUCUAGAAAAAACACGACAAAGUAAAAAAACUAUAACUCAACUGUAUGAUGAAAAUAAUCAAGUAACAUAUGACCAAAACAAAAUACUAAAUCUGGAAGUCAAUUAUUAUACUAAAUUAUAUACUUCAACAAAACCCGAUACAGAAAAGGUAAAACAAUACUUUGAAACUAUCAAAGAAAGUAAAAUAAUAAAUGAAUCUGAAAGUAAUACAUGCGAGGGAAAAAUUACUAUAAGUGAAUGCACAGAGGCUAUAUUUAAGAUGAAAUUAAACAAGGCCCCAGGGCUGGACGGAUUGAACGUUGAGUUUUAUAGAAAAUUUUGGGAACAGAUUAAAGAUUUCAUAGUACCAGUUUUCAACUAUUGCUAUAAAAAAGGAGAAUUAACAAACUCCCAAAAAUUGGAGCCAUAUCUCUUUUGUUUAAAAAAAAUGAUCCCCUCUCCCUUGAUAACUAUAGACCUAUUACAUUAUUAAACUAUGAUGUUAAAUUACUAGCUUAUGCCUUAGCGCAACGACUAAAAUCAGUACUACCAAAAAUUAUUCACUCUGAUCAAAAAGGUUACAUAAAAAACAGAUACAUAGGUUUUAACAUAAGACAAAUCCAAGACAUUAUUGAUUAUUCUGAAAAAUUUAAUGUAGAUGGUGCAAUUUUAUUUUUAGACUUUACUAAAGCUUUCGACUCACUUGAGUGGUGCUUUAUGUUUGAAUCUUUAAAAAAAAAUUUGGUUUUAAAAAAGAAUUCAUAAAAUGGGUUGAAACUAUGUAUACAGACAUAAAAGGAUGUAUUUUAAAUAAUGGAUGGGUGUCUGCCCCCUUCAAUACAUUUCGUGGGAUUAGACAAGGAUGUCCGUUAUCUUCGUUAAUUUUUGUCUUGUGUGUUGAAAUAAUGGCAAUUAAAUUAAGAGAAAAUAAG